This 207-nucleotide ribosomal RNA is filed under the name uncultured bacterium. RNAcentral describes it as "partial 16S ribosomal RNA". It matches the Rfam family "Bacterial small subunit ribosomal RNA", at positions 568 to 774 of the family's 1533-position model. The record is from RNAcentral.
CGCGUAGGUGGUUUGAUAAGCGAGAUGUGAAAGCCCCGGGCUUAACCUGGGAACGGCAUUUCGAACUGUCAGGCUAGAGUGUGGUAGAGGGUAGUGGAAUUUCCUGUGUAGCGGUGAAAUGCGUAGAUAUAGGAAGGAACACCAGUGGCGAAGGCGACUACCUGGACCAACACUGACACUGAGGUGCGAAAGCGGGGGGAGCAAACA